GUAGGGAAUAUUGCACAAUGGAGGAAACUCUGAUGCAGCGACGCCGCGUGAGUGAUGAAGGCCUUCGGGUCGUAAAGCUCUGUCGCAGGGGAAUAACACAAUGAAGGUACCCUGUAAGAAAGGAUCGGCUAACUUCGUGCCAGCAGCCGCGGUAAGACGAGGGAUCCUAGCGUUGUUCGGAAUCAUUGGACGUAAAGCGGAUGUAGGUGGCUAUGUAAGUCAGAUGUGAAAGCCUGGGGCUCAACCCCAGAAGUGCAUUUGAUACUGCGUAGCUUGAGUGUCGGAGAGGUUACUAGAAUUGUUGGUGUAGUGGUGAAAUACGUAGAUAUCAACAGGAAUACCGGAGGCGAAGGCGGGUAACUGGCCGAACACUGACACUGAGAUCCGAAAGCGUGGGGAUCAAACAGGAUUAGAAACCCCAGUAGUCC
Molecule: ribosomal RNA, 428 nt
Filed under: uncultured bacterium
Lineage: Bacteria
Description: partial 16S ribosomal RNA
Rfam family: Bacterial small subunit ribosomal RNA
Source: RNAcentral